This is a long non-coding RNA of Triticum aestivum (bread wheat), 3975 nucleotides long. RefSeq lists it as uncharacterized. NCBI's taxonomy places the organism in Eukaryota, Viridiplantae, Streptophyta, Magnoliopsida, Poales, Poaceae. The record is from RefSeq and is a predicted model, not a curated record. The transcript has 3 exons.
UUCCUCUCCCCCCGUUCCCUUAACCAACCCCGCCACCGCCGACGACCUCCUCUCCCCAAACCCAAACCCCAAGCACCAACGCCGGCGCCCUCCACCCCACCAGCAGCCGCUGCCAUGCACAGCACCGUUAGCUCUCUCGGCACCCGAAACCCUAGCUCCGGCCGGGCGUGCCGCGGCAUGGAAGAGCGCCGCGGAUCCGCCUCCUCGCCGUGGCCCCAACCUCCCCUUCUUCGGGCGCGGCGCAGGGGAGGGAGGGCUCCCUCCCUCUUGCCGACCGUCGAUGCGGUUCUUCUUCACGCAUUCAGGCAGUGAAGAGACCUACGCCAUGGAGGAUUCGAUUUGGCAGACCCUCCCUCUUGCGGACCGUCGAUACGCUGCAGAUGUGCGUGGAGAAGAAGGCCCUAGCAUUGGGGGAUGACCGGCCAUGCCAAGCUCCUCUUCAUUGGAGUUGGAGUUGGAUUUGGUCACCACCAAUUUGCUCCUAGCAUGCCCUCCUCUCUUUUGGUGAUUACUUGCUGCCUGACAUUAUAGUAUUACUGUACUUACACAUCAACUAAUCAGCAGCAUUUUUUGGUUCUACUAUAAUGCACAUCUAGCAUUCUUUUGGUUCAGCUAGAAUACACAUCUAACCACUUUUGAUUAAUUCUGGAGCAUUCCAUUUGGAUGUCCAGUCUCUCCCUCUCCUGUAAUGAUGUACGUGGUGUGUGUGUCUGCCUAGUGUAUAUACAACUGCUGUUCAUGGGCCUCAAUUCAAUUGCUCUGUUGUUGUGCCCAGCAUGCAACUGCUGUUCAUGGGCCUCAAUUCAAUUGCUUCCUUCUCCGUAAAUGAUGUGCACAGAUUGCUACCUAUGUACGUGUUGGUGGUCAUGGCCUCGCUGAUUAAUACGAGCUUUUGCGUUUAUUGUUUAGAAACAAUAUAUCCUGGCAUUGUUACUGCACUAGCGUUUUUCUCAAGAUUCAAGUUCAGUGCCUAUUUCCGCUUUUAGUUGAUGGAUUCCACAAAUGCAAUCUCUCAUCGUUGCUAUUAUAUAUCAUAUAACAGCAGCACGAAUGAUUCACACGACUCAAAGCUCUAUUGUGAUGGACUGGUGCUUCUCCUUUCUCCCCCCCAUGGAUCCCUUUCCCUCCCCUCCCAUGAGAUUUUCUUUUUCCUAUUUCAGGUCAAGGCUAUUAAUUUUGCUGCUAUUUCUCUUGCCUUGUUUUGUGUAGCAGCAACAGCAGCAUGGAUUCGGUACAGCAGAGGACAAGAAGGUCUUCAUGCCAGGCUCUAGGGCUGGGCGAGAGAACUUCUACUCUCGGUCGUGGUUUUAGUUUCCAUUCUAGCUCUCAGGUCAAGGCUGCAUCACGUAAGAACUGGUUCUGGUUGCUUCAUGCUAUAAAAAUGGGGCAGGGGGGCGACCCCCUUUCAUUCAAAAGAAGAGAAGGGCUUCAUUUCAUUCUCUUCCGUUGUUGGUUGUGCAACAGAGGCGGCUACGAAAUCGCCAUGGUGCAUGAGCUAAUCCAGUAUCUCACCAGGGUGCCCUCUCUCUCUCUCUCUCUCUCUAGGAGAAAGAGUUUUGGUCUUUUUGCUCCUACUCUAGCUAGCUGCAUAUAUACACAGUGUCGUUGUACCACGUGUGCACGCCCAUCGUAAUUACCUGAUGCAUCUAUGAUUGAUCUGCAUAGUGGCAAAUGAGCACCACUACUGUUACUAUUAGUAAGCACCUCUUUUGGUGACCGGCCAUGUUUAGUUUUCUCUAUGCAAACUACUGCACAUGUGUUGGCAUCUAUUAGUUUUAAUUUCCUGACUGUUCUGAAACCACUCCAAAAUGGAACAAGGAUCCAUCUCAACCUUGUUUCAGAGUACUUGUGUGAUUUAAAUGAUACUUGUUGUUUUAGAUAUCUCCUACUUGCUCGGGUGAAAUACUUGUUGUUUUAGAUAAGCAUGGUGCUCCUCUGUUUUGAUAUGUAGCGCUCUAGUAAUUUAAAUGAUUCAAAUUCCUAAAGCAACAACGCAUUACCUUCGUUUGGAAAUAAGGGGCAUGAUUUUAGUUGAAAUUGGAACUAAAACCACGACAAUUAUUUCCGAACGGACGGAGUACUUGUUUUCUACACAACAACUAUGCAUUCAACGAUCUGACCUAUAUUAUAUACAUGUUGAGGUAGAAAAGUGGGUAUAUAUACUUGCUUCUAUUCUGCUCUGGGCAACUAAAUUAACUGGGGAACAUGAAAGGCACACAUCAACUGAUGAUACCAGAAUAAUUGAUUGGCUGCUACACAGGCCAGAUUCUUGCUCUGCUGCUAGUUAAACACUUAAACUACAGCAGGUCAGGGCUAGCCAUGAGUGUGUGCGUGCAUGUUUUUGCCCCUAAAGGAUUUUAACCUCGGAUGAAAUUCCAUGGUUCGAUGGUCCCUGUGUAGUUUCUGAUGCAGAUCGUACAUCCAUCAAAACACACAAUUCAAACUGAACUUUGAUUUCUUUUGCUUGGUUCCACUAAGAUGCGUUAUUGCAAGCUAUUCAUUAUUUUUCAGCUUUGAGCUUGAGAAGAGUACUUAUUCACUAUAUUGUAGCUAUAACAGUUUUCAGCGUUCCAUCUUUCUAGUCUCCUAUGUUGAACAGAGACAUACAAUUUGCAGUGUUAAAUCAAUAUAUGAUCUCUUUUUCUAUGUCCCCACGAAUACCCAAUACAAGUAAAGCAAUUUGUUCCGAUCAAUCAACAGUGAGUGAAUCGGGAUGUUGAUUAAUGUGGGGGAUUCACUUGCUGCUCAAUGUGAACUUGCGUAAUUAGUGAUGUCACUAUGAGUUCCUCGCUCUGACCGAUCUGUUACGUAUUUCAGUCAUUGUUGGUAGCUAGUCUCAGUUAUGAUGUUCCUUUGUUUUGUAGAAGAUGGACCAAUCACGGAUAGAGUAACAAGUAGCUGCGGGUUGCCCAAUAUGCCUCCAAACCGUACGCUCGUGUAGCAUUGGUAGAAGCAAAUUGACAAAUUGGCUAGCAAAAUCGCAGCCUGGAGCUAGCUUGGUGGUAAAUCUGAAGCCCGUCCCCACACGGCGUCGCUCAAACUUGAAUUUUUUUUUCAGUUCUGAGCUAUGAGAAGAUUACUUACUUCCAAUUUUUGAGCUAUAACAGUUUUCAGUCAGUGUUGCAAGUUUCUACUCUGCUAUACUGAAUAUAAUAUAGACACACAUUUUUCAGUGCUCCAUCAGUUCUGUGAUUUUCUAUUUUUAUGUGCCGACCACUACCUAAUACAAGUAAAUUGAUUUGUUCUGAUCAUUAUACAGUGAAUCAAGAUGGUGAUCAAUGUCGAGGAUUUACUUCUUGCUCAACUAUUUACAAGUGAAACUUGGCUAACCAGUGGUGGAACUAUCAACAUCCCGAGGACUAAGAAAGUAACCGUGGUGGUUCGCCCAAUAUGAAAUUUUGUAUCUCUGAAAGUAGAGAUUUUUUACAGUACAUCAUACUACCGAAUUUAAGGGGUAGUAUUAACCAGAUCCAACGGUUAAUAUGGUUCAACGCUGAAUUUAGAUUGAGGACAGCUUGGUGAUUUCAUAUUAGGAUGCCCCACGACCUCGCCUCCUAUUUCACGGUCGUCGCUAGCCCCCACUGCGUCUCCUCGGCUCUCCUCCCGCCCUGCCGCCAAGCUCGUGUUCAUCGAGUUCGAUGUUCAGGUCUACACACAUGCAGCCGUUGCAUUCACUCUCGAUUCAGCAGGAGGAGAUUAGUAUUCCCGGACGGACGGGCCUCUGUAGCCAGGUGGGUGAGAACGGCGAGCUGGUGCACUGCUUACACGUCGGCGCUGGCGCUUGACUGGUGGGAGUCGCGGCUCGACGUCAUCUUCGUCCACCCGCCUUGCUCGUGCGACGCGGCGCCACCCGACGGCAUGGCAGAAAUGUGACGGAAAACAUCGAGUGCCCAUCUUCGAUCCUGCCCUCGCGGAGCUCUGCUCGCCGCCACCGGCCAGCUUGCAAUCACAUUGUGAGUUGAUGCAAUAAAGAAA